CCAAAAUCUAAUCUACACAUUCCCAUGGUUCAAACAAAUUUGAAACGGCCUUUCACAUAGCUCAAUUAUAAUAGGCUUAGGUUCAUAAUCACCCUUUAAUUAAUUAACGCUUUAACCAAUUAAACUUUGAAUGCAACAUUUUCAUUUGGUUUUUGUUUCCAUAGAAUUGAUUUAAAUGGAGCUAAAUGAAAUGAAAAUCCAAUUCUCAUUUAAAGAGACAAAACCAUUUUGUUCUCAACCUAAUUUGGGCCAAAAUGCAAUAACCUCAACUUUUUGGUCUAUGUUGCAAAACUUAAACUUUUGAGCUCAUUUUGUAAAAACACAAAAGUCCACUACUUCAUGUAAUUACAACUAGAACCCAAAAAUUUCAUCAAAUACAAAAACUUCAUUAAAGGAGCAAAACAAUUUGACCUUUAGCGUUUUUGGGCCUUUACAUAAAAACGUAAACUUUUGGGUCAAACUUGUAAAUACACAAAAGUACCAAAACUUUAUGUAAUUGCAUAAAAGCCCCAAAAGCACCACACUUGUAGGGUGGCCGGUUUUAGAGAGAGUGAGGAAUGCAAAAUUUUGAAAUUUUUCAACAAAGUCAUAAAGCCAUGCAAGUGGUGUGUGUGA
RNAcentral lists this long non-coding RNA (615 nucleotides) under Malus domestica (apple). Its description in RNAcentral is "long non-coding RNA (MDOM_LNC015230)". Lineage: Eukaryota; Viridiplantae; Streptophyta; Magnoliopsida; Rosales; Rosaceae. The record is from RNAcentral.